AUGAACGCUGGCGGCGUGCCUAAUACAUGCAAGUCGAGCGAACAGACGAGGAGCUUGCUCCUCUGACGUUAGCGGCGGACGGGUGAGUAACACGUGGAUAACCUACCUAUAAGACUGGGAUAACUUCGGGAAACCGGAGCUAAUACCGGAUAAUAUAUUGAACCGCAUGGUUCAAUAGUGAAAGACGGUUUUGCUGUCACUUAUAGAUGGAUCCGCGCCGCAUUAGCUAGUUGGUAAGGUAACGGCUUACCAAGGCAACGAUGCGUAGCCGACCUGAGAGGGUGAUCGGCCACACUGGAACUGAGACACGGUCCAGACUCCUACGGGAGGCAGCAGUAGGGAAUCUUCCGCAAUGGGCGAAAGCUUGACGGAGCAACGCCGCGUGAGUGAUGAAGGUCUUCGGAUCGUAAAACUCUGUUAUUAGGGAACAACAAAUGUGUAAGUAACUAUGCACGUCUUGACGGUACCUAAUCAGAAAGCCACGGCUAACUACGUG
This 496-nucleotide ribosomal RNA is filed under the name uncultured bacterium. RNAcentral's name for it is "partial 16S ribosomal RNA". It matches the Rfam family "Bacterial small subunit ribosomal RNA", at positions 29 to 507 of the family's 1533-position model. The record is from RNAcentral.